This is a long non-coding RNA of Psammomys obesus (fat sand rat), 8396 nucleotides long. RefSeq lists it as uncharacterized. The record is from RefSeq and is a predicted model, not a curated record. The transcript has 2 exons. NCBI's taxonomy places the organism in Eukaryota, Metazoa, Chordata, Mammalia, Rodentia, Muridae.
UUUGCUUGAGUCCGUUCUUCUCUCUUGCCCAUUUUUCUUUCAGGCCUGGUCCUCUUUGGAGACCCCACGAAUUACUAGUCCUGCAGGUGGGUACACAUACCCACUUAAUAAACCUCUGGCAUAGAAGAUCGGGCGACCCCAGCCUCAUGUUUCUUUAAAUAAUAACUAACAUUGGUGCCGUGACUCGGGAAGGGCUCCCUUAGCUUAGCUAGGGCCCCUUUCAGACUUCGGAUAGGACUGUUACAACAGAUUUUCUCCUAAAAAUCUCUAUUUUUCUCUCAACUGCCCUCAUGCCCGUGCACAGCCAUUUCCCCAGGCUGCUUCUACACUCCCCAGGCUUGGGUCCUUCCCCUGCAGCUGGUGCCCAUGCUCCAAUCUGGCACCAUGGCUGGGGCUCUCUGAGAGGUGUGGCGAUGCAGGUCCAGUUCUGGUUCGUGACUGGGGAUGCUCAGUGCAGCCUCGGAGGAACACCAUCAGGCUGCAGGGGCACACGGCGCCGAGGCGUGUGGUACUGGGCACCCAGCGGCUGCCUGCUCCUGCUGUGGCUGUGCUCCCCUGCCUGCAUGGUGACCGACAGAGAGGCCCCACCACGGCCAUUGCUCUAGAGUCGUGGAGACGCACACAACACAAAAAUCAACUUUGGAAAACUUGGUAAGGAAUUUCUAAAAAACCCAGCACAGCUGCAAAACUUUUAAAUCUCCCGAGGGAUUUUAAAAUCUCACGAGAUUUUCGGCACCAUCUUGGUUUUGGGAGGAAGUGGGCGAAACUGUAGCUUAACCUUUCACUUAAUAUGGCACAAUGCCAUCUUAGGUUUGGGCAAAGAGGCCCUGCCUCCUGUGCGCCCUGCAGGAAACCAUCUCUCCAUGUGCUUCCCCCUCCCCCACCAAGCUGAGUUUCACUUCUGCUACUAUGGUGCCUGCUACUGCCUUCUCUCUCUUGCUAUGUGUUUCCCCCCACCACCACCAAGCUGCUUUCAUUUUGCUUCUAGCCCUAUUUUGCUUCUAGCCACGUGCUUUCUUCUAGGAGGCUGUUUCCAAGCUUAAAAAAAAAAAAAAAAAAAAAAAAAAAACUUUUCUCCCUGAUUUAUGUACACUUCUUUACUCUUAUAUUUUAAAUUCCUUACCUAAUGCUUUAUAUAAUUUUCUCAUUCAGUUUGCAUUUAUAAGUCUUAAUCAUAAUUAACUGUUUAUCUUAUCUUUUAGACUAGGCAACAACAACGAGCCUCAUUUCAAGUUGGUAUGGAUUUUUAUAAAAAUUCAAAGUUACAUUUUACUAUCUUAUGAUUCAACCCUGCUUCAAAUAAAUUUUAUAUAAUAAUAAAAUUUUAAAGUUAUAAAUAUCUAUUCAAAUUAAGUUGGUUUAUGUGUUGUUCAAAUAUAAUUUUAAAAUUGCUUUAUACUGCUCUGCUCAGGGGUUCAUUAGUACGUACAAGUUGUUUACCAAUAUUCUAAAUUAAUUUCUAUUAAUUUUAGAGGUAUUUAUUUAUGUUAAAACUGGGUCAAUUUGCUGUAUCCCUACUAUCAAAGGGUUAGAAUAUACUUGCUUAAUUUUAAAAUUGGUUUAUACUGUUCUGCUAAAUUGUUGGUUUUAAACUUAUAGCUCAAGAGUUCAUUAUUAUGUACAAAUUGUUUACCAAUAUUCUAAAUUAAGAUCUAUUAAUUUUUAAAAAUAUACAAUUAUAAUAAAACUGGGUCAAUUUACUGUAUCUCUGCUAUUAAAAGGUUAAUAUAAGCUUGUUCUUGUUCUCUUAAAAUUGUUGUUAUUUAUCUGUAGUAUAGCCUUACACUAUUAUAAUCUAUAAACUUUUAUAUAGUAAAUCAUACAAAAACUCUUGUGCUCUCACUUUAAUAGAUUAUAUUCAUGACUUUUAAGAUUAUAACUUAGCAAGGACAAAACCUAAAGUCCUAAUAUUUAAUGGUUAACAAAUGCAAGUUAAUAGUCAUCUCAUAGAUACACAUUUAUAGUCCUACAGAUGCAAACAUGGUCUCACUGCAAUUUUUAAUAAACACCUGAGGAUGGUCGUUGAGUCACCAUAUAGGAGUUGGUAAAAAUAGUAAGAGCCAUCCCACCUGGCUCUAGAUCUUAGCUGCUGCACUCUGAGACUUCUGGCAUUCCCACAAAAAAGGGAAGAGGUUUGCAUAGCCAAAAGUCUGUUGCCCCAGGUGACAUUUUCAAAUGUAUCCAAGUGGAUGCUGGUCCCGCUGCUGCUGCAACAUUCCAAAGCUGGCUGCUGGAAAACUGGCCUCUGGAAGUCAAAAUGCCCCAAGCAGGCUUGUCCUCUGUGCCCAGCCAUGGAGGUUCAACCAGCACAAGAGCCACAGACACUUCCAGCCUUCUAGCUCGUUGGCCUGGCGGAGGACGAAUGGCUCCUUUACUUAGCAACCUCCACAGCUCUCGCACAGGUCUGUUUUUGACCUCAGAAUGAGAUCCCACGGACAUAUUGCCAACUUUUGUGUUGGGAGACUUCAGGUGCCUUCCCAGUUCUCUUUAUAUGCAGGAGACAACAGGCCUUAAGCCUAAGCACUAGAGCUGCUAUUUUCAGGCCUAACACAGUCCAGACUCAAGAAACAUGCCUAAAGGUAUAUAAAUACAAGUUUUUCAUGUUUAAGAGUCUAAAAAUGUGUCUUAAGGGUGGUAACACAACUUAAAAAUGUUUGAGGGCCUAAAAAAUAUUUUAAAGUUGGUAAAUGCAAGUUAUAAAGGUUACAAGGUGUAAGGUGAUUUAAGGUAUCUUAAAUAGGUAAAAAGGCUUAAUGUUUCCUCCUGUUGUUAUACUACUGUUGUAUUGACUGUCCAGGGUAGGUAAAAAGGCUCAGUAUAUCUUUCUGUUGUUAUGCUACUGUUGUAUUGACUGUCCAGAGUUUUAACCUUUAUCAAUAGAGCUCUAAUUUAUUACUCUGACUCUGAUACAAAAACAUUCCACUGUACCAUGUACUAUUAUGGUUCUAAACUCAAGAUUGUAAGCCUCCAUAAUAUGUAUACUUAUACUAGAAGUUAAGAUCAAGUGAGUUUCCCUUUUACUUGAUAAAAGGCUAUUGCAUUUUCAGAGCUCACUUUAAAAAAUACUUAUGCUAUUAACACAAAUAUGUAUGUCUACUGCCUUUUUCUACAAUGCAGAGUACAAUUGUGAUACUAACAUGUCUAAAGUUUUAUCUCUGUCUUAAAACUUAAAAGUAAUUCUUGUAAGCUGCAGAAAGUCCACCUAAAUCCACCUCUCAGGUCAAUUGGACUCCAGCUAAGUACUGCACUUAUUGCCUAUCUCAAAAGGUGGGACUCCUCCCCUUUCCCUGGUUUUGGGACUUCCUUUCCUGGCUACCAGACUGCUAUUUACUGUAUGCAACACUGGCUGAAUUGGUGAGUCCUCCUUAUUGACCAGCCACUAGAUUGGUGAGUUCACUCCAUUUUCUCAGCAUAAACACCUCUCUUGGUAGGGGAAGCUUGAUCGCAGAGCUCUUGCAACUUCGUACUAUCUUUGAGAUGGAGGGACCCUCCCAGCUGUAGCCUUAACUGUCUAGGUUUGACCCUCUAUCCUGACCUCCAUUUUAGGGCCUCACUCUCCCUUGAGCGGUACAUCCCCACUCACACACAGUUCCUUUCUCCCCCCCCUCUCUCUCACUCACUCGCUCAUGGCAAGACCUAGCACUAGGUGAACCUUUGUGCCCCAGCCGUGCCCCAGUGGGCAUCUGCACCCCGGUCCCUGGCCAAAAGCUGAUGAGCUAUUGGACCAGGUAGCACCCCUUUCUUGGAGUCACACCUUGCCAUUGGGACGCCUCUAGAAGGUCGCUGACUUCUGCCCCCAAUGGGAGAUGCCCAGAGGCCCAUCCCUCCAGAUAGGAUGUCCUCCUGAGAAUUUUAAGUUUCUAAACCUAGUGCCAGCUGGCACCAGGGCCUCUAAGUUUACAUGCUUCUGUAACCAAACCUCAUCUCAAUGACAGAUUGAAAACAAAGCCUUCUUUAAAUAUUGCCAGUGAUUGGGUAAAUAAAGUUCCCCCCAGGUACACAGAGGUUCCCAUGUUCAAGUCUCAUUGAUCCAAACCUUCUAUUUCUGUUUGCUCUCCCAGAAGUUUUCAAUGUAUACCUACAGGAUUUUUUCUAUAACCUACUCAACUUUAUUUUUGCCUAUAUAUGUGUUUCACUGUCCUGCCAGACACAGAUGUUUACUAUAGCCACAACAGUGCCAAAGCAGCUACAGGUGUUCAACUCUGACCUCAUGGACUUCCAACAAGCUGCAGGUGUUCAACUCUGACCUCACAGACUUCCAACAAGCUGGACCUGCACCUUCUUUCCCAGCCAUGGAUAUUCUUGCAGACCCUGGAAAGCAUCAAUACAGCCUAUUCUUCCUGGACUUGGCCAACAUUUCAGCCUUUUGAUCUCCCUACAGCACCCCCAGUGUAAGGAGGAAGUAUCCAGAAGAGAAUCUAUGCCCAUUAUUGACUUGUUGUUAACAAAAGGCUGAAAUGGUGUGCUUCAGGACUGGGACAGGCGGCUCCAGGUUCUUCUUCCAGCAUUCCCCAAUCCCUACCUGUUGCCUUGCAUGGCUGACAACUCUUUAUUGACAACCCUCUACCCUAAAAUUUCCAGGGCAGAGGCUUCCCUUACUCUUGACCUUGCAAUAUGACCAUUUUGUUGCUAUAAUUCUCUCUUUCUCAACGCCUUACAUGACAACCAAGAUCUGCUUCCAAUGAGCCUAAAUUUAUAUACUUUAACUUACCUUAUAAAAAGCAGCCCAGGCUCCCCAUUUUUUAAUUAUAGAAAAAGGGAGGAAUGUUAGUAUUUUGGAACACAACCUGCUCCUGGGUUACCCAGCAACUUAUGAUGUCAUCAUGUGUCGCCGGCCAGGUGGCCACACCUGGAAGGCAAGGUUACCUUGCCCCUUAAAGGGCCAACCCCAAAAUGUGGUCUCUCUCUCUCUCUCUCUCUCUCUCUCUCUCUCUCUCGGUGCCCCUCUUUCUUUUUCUCUCUCCCCACCAUGUCCUGUUCUCCCACUCCCUCAAUACCACUUAAUAAACCUCUGGCAUAGAAGAUUGGUUGACCCCAGGCUCAUAUUUCUUUAAGAACAGGGUGGAGGUGUCAGCCUUCAUGAAACUUUAGGCAGCAAUUAAACAAAGCCCUGGGUACUUGGAUUAUCUCAGGUUCUGCACCUCUGAGGAGCCCACUGACUACCACACUUUUCCUCUCUCCUAGGCCUUUGAGAUCCUCAGUCUGGUCUAGUGGAAUCUCCAGAAAUGUUGCAGGGUAUUCACCAGAGAAGAUGGCUUGGACAUAGGCUUAAGCCCAUAGAAAGCCUUUAUUAGCUGCUUUGGCAUGUGGUGCUGUCUACAUGCUGAGUUAGAGCCUGAAUGGCACUUCCAUCAGGAAGUCAGCUGUGCUAAAGUCUGGUGCCCUGUUACAUUCAAUCAUUGCUACUGCAUGUGGAACAAUAAACACAUGCCAAUAUUUGUCUUGGUCUCGUUUUGUUAAUAAAAGUAUUUGGUAAUCAAGAAUCUCUUCACACAUGAGCAAUAUUGGUUAAUAAUUGGCUAAGAAGAAGAACAGUGAGUUAAAUGAUUUACUGGAAGAAUUUCGAGGAAUCUGCAUGUGCUUACAAAUAUACCUUAAGUAACUCGGUCACCCCACCCCAGACCCUGGUGGUCUCUGUUCUUUUCUCUUUCCCAAUCUUUCUGUCUCUCUUCCUUCCUCCUUUCUUUCCUUCUCUUCUCUCUCCCUUCCUCUAUCUUUCAUCUCUUCCUCCCUCUCUCCUUCUCUUUCUCUCUCCCUUUCUCCCCUUCUCUCUCUCUUCUUCUCUCCUCCUCUCUCAGCCUCCCCUUCUCCUCUUUCUCUCCCUCCCCUUUCUCUCUUCAUCCCUCCUCCCCCUCUCUCUUCUCUCUCUCUCUGUGCUCAAUGCUUGUGCAUGUGUAUGCGAAUGUGACUGUAAGCGUUUAUGCAUGAAGAGUGAACUAAGAACACUUGUGGGAAUAAGAGGACAAUUUGCAUGUGUUAGUUGUUCUUUUUUUUUUUUUUUUACCAUGUUGGUCCUUGGUCCUGGGCAUAGAACUCCAGGCAACAGGCUUGACUUUUAUCCACUAUGCCAUCUUGCCCACUGGUAUAUAUUUGACAUAGUGAUAUUAGAAAAUAAAAGGAGCAGAGUGGAAAUAUUCCUGGAAAGAAGUAUGAAAGUAAUGCAGUACAGGUUCCUAUGAGAAUUCUACCAAGGAGUUUUUAAGAGAAUGUUUCCAAGGAAGACACAGAGCUUUCAUUCCACCAGCCUUGAAAUAUAAAUUUGUGUGAGAAAUGCAUCAACAAGAAAAUCUCUUAAAUCGGAUCCUAAAAUUUCUCCAAGCACUGAUUACCUUUACUUCAAUGCUAGCUCACAAAAUAUUCUGCUUGCCCAAAGGAAAACAGAUACACAUAUUCACUGCUAGCAGAGGCAGUCAACAUACAGUUAAUAUUCCCAGUAGUUAUGAACUAGAAAACAAAACACUAGAUGUGAGAUUGGUAAGAGGACUUGAAGUGAAAGCUGCUGUGAUACUUUAAAUCUUUGAAACAUAGACCUUUACUCCAUGUCACAAAACAAAUUACUGGUGGUGAAUUUUAUCGUCUACAAGUUAGCAUUUAGAAAUGUAAAAUUAAUAUCAUCACUUAAAGCACAUGUUUAUUCUUUGCAGAGAUGUGUCUAAGGUAGAGUUUUAAAUUAUUGCCUUUUCUUUACAUUUCGGUAAUGGCUUGAAAGUUUAUUUCUUAUGGGCAAAAGAGAACAUCAAAUACAUUCAUGCCCAUACAGAUUAAUAAUUUAGAAAACGUUGUUUCCUAAUAAAAUUACAAUGAAAAAAUGAUGAUUUCAAUGUUCCUGUUUCAACACCAUCCCUUUCUUAGCUGUGAAGAAUUUAUCAAAGUGAAACUUUAGUAGGACACUGUGUUCUGCCUUGCCAUUCACAUUGCUUUGGUUACUUCAGAACAAUUAGGUUUUGCCAUCAUUUUACAGUUAUGAAAGAGGUCUGAGUAUGAACACAAAAUUAAUUUGUCUAAUGUCGCACAGCUGAGUAGUAUAAGAAGGUUUUAGACUAUCAAUUUGCUUUUAGGCUACUAAGUUCUCCACUUCCUGUCAUAGUAUCAUCUGUAUCAGCACAAAUGUUCAUAAAAUCUUCCAUAGGUUUUAUAUUUUACAUUCAUGUAAAUUUCCCACAGUUGUCAGUAUCACUUGAAAAAUUCUACUUAUCCCAAUUUCAACAUUUACUAGGAAUUCCUGGAGGCUUCCCUGCAGAACAGAAGAACCAGUUAUUCUAUGCUUCUCAUUUCCAGUAACUUUUAACACACCUAUUUUGUAGUUUUGGUUUUUUUUUUUUUCUGAUUGCAAGCAAGGAAGAAAGAUGUCCUGAAUUGUAGAAAUAAGCAGAUAAACAACUACCAGUUUUAUUAAUGUCAAGUCAAGGAGGCUAUGAGGCGGUUCUGUGGAGUAAUGACUUUUAUCUUUAGAAUGAAGCUGGGAAAUAAACUAAGACAUGAAAAACACAGUGUCCAGAACAAUCAAUCAAAAGCAUGACAAGACCCUGUUGGGAUAAGCUCUAGCUAUUUCUAUUCUUAACAUGGAAUAGUCUAGCUAGCAGAAUCUGAGAACCAGAGAUAAAAAGGAGAGUUCAACUCCCACCUAUCAUGUUAGUUUUCUAUGAGACCCUUAACCCUAUAUGCUUUGUUACCUCCGGAUUUUGAGCAGUGCCAUAGCCCAGAAUAGGCAUGAUGCAACCAUCAUUGAGUCUCACACAGUGCUGUUUAGAACUCAUUGCUCGCUCUUCACUCCUCUGAUUGUGCAGAUGCUGUAAUUUUUUUCUUUCAGUUAUAGAUGGUUCUAAAAAGAAGGGCAGAGCUUCACCCCUAGAAGCUGUUUAACCAAAAGUUAAACAUUAUGGGAGGAGUGAGGUUGAUACAAAGUAACUACAGGUAACAGUCGGAAUCAGUUUGACUUACGUGAUUUUGGUUUCUUUCAUAAGUUAGAGCCACUGACACUGAAACUACUAGUUUUAAAUAACUUUCCUCUUCAUGGUCUUCAUAUUACUAUACUAAUUAUAACAUUGAAUAAUUACCAGCAGUUUGAAACUGUCACAAUUGUUUUAACAUUUAUUUUCUCUCUUUCCUCUCUUCUCUCCCUACCUCAACCCCUGUGCAUGCAAGUGCACAUGGCAGGGGGACAUAGACAUCAUAUCCCUUGAAGCUGGAGUUAUAGGUGUUUGUGGGCUGCAUGAUGGAGAUGACUGAUUUCAACUCUGGAACUCUGAAAGAAAGCAAGCUCUGUUAACCAUAAGCCAUAUUGCCCACACCAGAAUUUUUUGCUCUUGGUGGAAAACUUUUUGCAUUAUAAUGAAUUUGAUUAUUACCAUUGUAUAAUCCAUGAAAAAUUCAAAAUAAAGAAAAUAUGUUAAGAA